AGGAAGUUCAUUUAACUGGAGAUAUGAACCAGGUAGUGGAAACAACUGAUUUGUAAAAGUUAAUUGGCCGUGCAGGCACGUGCGCACUUGCACACGUGCGAGCACAGGACAGUGAAUUAGCAGGCACGCGAUACGCGAGUCAUCACAUACAUACAUGCCUGCGUGCAUAUGCAUCAGUUGAAUGGCUGGUUCUUUCCAUCCGACGCGCUCCCCCAUGCCACAACAUGCAUGCUCGCGCCGCGCGUAGCUCCCUCCGCCACGUGGCCGCUUGGCAUCACCCAGCCGUCGAUAUCACCGAGCCUCCGCAGUUCGCCUUGGUGGAUGACCUGGUGUGCCUGCCGCUUGAGGAACUGUGAGUACUGUGGGCCAGAUCAUCUAGCUGCCAGCCAGUUAUUAUAGAGCUUGUAGUACUAUGAUGGAUGGGUUCCGCUGCUGCUGCUGCUGCUGCAGCUGCCUUUUUCAAUACGUAGUCAGGGCGCGUACUGUCCGCGUCCGUUAGCGGCAGCUGCCGGGAGAGGGGGGAAGUCCCUAGAUGCCUCUGACUUGGCUCCCCGGUACCGUUCACCACGCGCCAAUCCAGACGUUACAUGGGACACAGGCCCGUGUCGUUCAGUGUCCUGUCCUUGUCCCGUCCUGAACUUUCCGCUCCU
RNAcentral lists this long non-coding RNA (650 nucleotides) under Volvox carteri. RNAcentral's name for it is "long non-coding RNA (VCAR_LNC003399)". Lineage: Eukaryota; Viridiplantae; Chlorophyta; Chlorophyceae; Chlamydomonadales; Volvocaceae. The record is from RNAcentral.